AGAAGGUAAUAAUCCUGUAGUCGAAAAUGUUGUCUCUCUUGAGUGGAUCCUGAGUACGACGGAGCACGUGAAAUUCCGUCGGAAUCUGGGAGGACCAUCUCCUAAGGCUAAAUACUCUCUAGUGACCGAUAGUGAACCAGUACCGUGAGGGAAAGGUGAAAAGCACCCCGGAAGGGGAGUGAAAUAGAACCUGAAACCGUGUGCUUACAAGUAGUCAGAGCCCGUUAAUGGGUGAUGGCGUGCCUUUUGUAGAAUGAACCGGCGAGUUACGAUUUGAUGCAAGGUUAAGCAGUAAAUGUGGAGCCGUAGCGAAAGCGAGUCUGAAUAGGGCGUUUAGUAUUUGGUCGUAGACCCGAAACCAGGUGAUCUACCCUUGGUCAGGUUGAAGUUCAGGUAACACUGAAUGGAGGACCGAACCGACUUACGUUGAAAAGUGAGCGGAUGAACUGAGGGUAGCGGAGAAAUUCCAAUCGAACCUGGAGAUAGCUGGUUCUCUCCGAAAUAGCUUUAGGGCUAGCCUCAAGUGAUGAUUAUUGGAGGUAGAGCACUGUUUGGACGAGGGGCCCCUCUCGGGUUACCGAAUUCAGACAAACUCCGAAUGCCAAUUAAUUUAACUUGGGAGUCAGAACAUGGGUGAUAAGGUCCGUGUUCGAAAGGGAAACAGCCCAGACCACCAGCUAAGGUCCCAAAAUAUAUGUUAAGUGGAAAAGGAUGUGGCGUUGCCCAGACAACUAGGAUGUUGGCUUAGAAGCAGCCAUCAUUUAAAGAGUGCGUAAUAGCUCACUAGUCGAGUGACACUGCGCCGAAAAUGUACCGGGGCUAAACAUAUUACCGAAGCUGUGGAUUGUCCUUUGGACAAUGGUAGGAGAGCGUUCUAAGGGCGUUGAAGCAUGAUCGUAAGGACAUGUGGAGCGCUUAGAAGUGAGAAUGCCGGUGUGAGUAGCGAAAGACGGGUGAGAAUCCCGUCCACCGAUUGACUAAGGUUUCCAGAGGAAGGCUCGUCCGCUCUGGGUUAGUCGGGUCCUAAGCUGAGGCCGACAGGCGUAGGCCAUGGAUAACAGGUUGAUAUUCCUGUACCACCUAUA
This 1085-nucleotide ribosomal RNA is filed under the name Staphylococcus aureus. RNAcentral's name for it is "partial 23S ribosomal RNA". It matches the Rfam family "Bacterial large subunit ribosomal RNA", at positions 359 to 1452 of the family's 2925-position model. The record is from RNAcentral. Lineage: Bacteria; Bacillati; Bacillota; Bacilli; Caryophanales; Staphylococcaceae.